This 466-nucleotide ribosomal RNA is filed under the name uncultured bacterium. RNAcentral describes it as "partial 16S ribosomal RNA". It matches the Rfam family "Bacterial small subunit ribosomal RNA", at positions 28 to 507 of the family's 1533-position model. The record is from RNAcentral.
GAUGAACGCUGGCGGCGUGCUUAACACAUGCAAGUCGAACGGUGAAAGAGAGCUUGCUCUCUGGAUCAGUGGCGAACGGGUGAGUAACACGUGAGCAAUCUGCCCCUGACUCUGGGAUAAGCGCUGGAAACGGCGUCUAAUACCGGAUACGAGCUGCGAAGGCAUCUUCAGCAGCUGGAAAGAACUUCGGUCAGGGAUGAGCUCGCGGCCUAUCAGCUAGUUGGUGAGGUAACGGCUCACCAAGGCGUCGACGGGUAGCCGGCCUGGGAGGGUGACCGGCCACACUGGGACUGAGACACGGCCCAGACUCCUUCGGGGGGCAGCAGUGGGGAAUAAUUCACAAUGGGCGAAAGCCUGAUGCAGCAACGCCGCGUGAGGGAAGACGGCCUUCGGGUUGUAAACCUCUUUUAGCAGGGAAGAAGCGAAAGUGACGGUACCUGCAGAAAAAGCACCGGCUAACUACGUG